UGCAACUUUGGGCCCAAAGGUUUGAAUAAUUAAAUUCAAACCUAUAGUUUUUUUUAAUAUAAUUUUGGGAUUCACAAUCCUAUUUUUAUAUUAUUUUUCUCUCUUCCUCUCACGUUGCUCGGCGUUUUCUCGCAAGGGAGGAUUAUUUUCUUUUUCUUCAGAUUAUAUUGACAAAGAUAGUGGUGAAAAAGGAGUUGUGAAGGGGAACUUGUUAUUCAAGACACAAGGAGCGAAUCCGGCCGAGAAAGCACUAGAGGUGUAAUUAUGGUGUAUGAGACACCAUCUUUUACGUUGCCUCUUAUUUUGGAUUAUACAAUGUAUCUUGUGCCAACUUAGG
Prosopis cineraria is the source of this 337-nucleotide long non-coding RNA. RefSeq lists it as uncharacterized. The record is from RefSeq and is a predicted model, not a curated record. The transcript is spliced from 3 exons. NCBI's taxonomy places the organism in Eukaryota, Viridiplantae, Streptophyta, Magnoliopsida, Fabales, Fabaceae.